This 389-nucleotide ribosomal RNA is filed under the name uncultured Bicosoecida. Its description in RNAcentral is "partial small subunit ribosomal RNA". It matches the Rfam family "Eukaryotic small subunit ribosomal RNA", at positions 30 to 432 of the family's 1831-position model. Lineage: Eukaryota; Bigyra; Bicosoecida. The record is from RNAcentral.
GCUUGUCUCAAAGAUUAAGCCAUGCAUGUCUAAGUAUAAACAACUUUGUACUGUGAAACUGCGAAUGGCUCAUUAUAUCAGUUAUAGUCUACUCGAUAGUACCUUACUACUUGGAUAACCGUAGUAAUUCUAGAGCUAAUACAUGCACAAAGCAGCCUUCACGGGUUGUGUAUUUAUUAGAUACAAUCAGCCCUUCGGGUCUUGAUGAAUCAUAAUAACUGAACUAAGCGCAUGCCUUGUGCGGCGCUGUUUCAUUCAAGUUUCUGCCCUAUCAGCUUUCGAUGGUAGGGUAUUGGCCUACCAUGGCGUUAACGGGUAACGGAGAAUUAGGGUUCGAUUCCGGAGAGGGAGCCUGAGAGAUGGCUACCACAUCCAAGGAAGGCAGCAGG